ACAUGCAAGUCGAACGAACUCUGGUAUUGAUUGGUGCUUGCAUCAUGAUUUACAUUUGAGUGAGUGGCGAACUGGUGAGUAACACGUGGGAAACCUGCCCAGAAGCGGGGGAUAACACCUGGAAACAGAUGCUAAUACCGCAUAACAACUUGGACCGCAUGGUCCGAGUUUGAAAGAUGGCUUCGGCUAUCACUUUUGGAUGGUCCCGCGGCGUAUUAGCUAGAUGGUGGGGUAACGGCUCACCAUGGCAAUGAUACGUAGCCGACCUGAGAGGGUAAUCGGCCACAUUGGGACUGAGACACGGCCCAAACUCCUACGGGAGGCAGCAGUAGGGAAUCUUCCACAAUGGACGAAAGUCUGAUGGAGCAACGCCGCGUGAGUGAAGAAGGGUUUCGGCUCGUAAAACUCUGUUGUUAAAGAAGAACAUAUCUGAGAGUAACUGUUCAGGUAUUGACGGUAUUUAACCAGAAAGCCACGGCUAACUACGUGCCAGCAGCCGCGGUAAUACGUAGGUGGCAAGCGUUGUCCGGAUUUAUUGGGCGUAAAGCGAGCGCAGGCGGUUUUUUAAGUCUGAUGUGAAAGCCUUCGGCUCAACCGAAGAAGUGCAUCGGAAACUGGGAAACUUGAGUGCAGAAGAGGACAGUGGAACUCCAUGUGUAGCGGUGAAAUGCGUAGAUAUAUGGAAGAACACCAGUGGCGAAGGCGGCUGUCUGGUCUGUAACUGACGCUGAGGCUCGAAAGUAUGGGUAGCAAACAGGAUUAGAUACCCUGGUAGUCCAUACCGUAAACGAUGAAUGCUAAGUGUUGGAGGGUUUCCGCCCUUCAGUGCUGCAGCUAACGCAUUAAGCAUUCCGCCUGGGGAGUACGGCCGCAAGGCUGAAACUCAAAGGAAUUGACGGGGGCCCGCACAAGCGGUGGAGCAUGUGGUUUAAUUCGAAGCUACGCGAAGAACCUUACCAGGUCUUGACAUACUAUGCAAAUCUAAGAGAUUAGACGUUCCCUUCGGGGACAUGGAUACAGGUGGUGCAUGGUUGUCGUCAGCUCGUGUCGUGAGAUGUUGGGUUAAGUCCCGCAACGAGCGCAACCCUUAUUAUCAGUUGCCAGCAUUAAGUUGGGCACUCUGGUGAGACUGCCGGUGACAAACCGGAGGAAGGUGGGGAUGACGUCAAAUCAUCAUGCCCCUUAUGACCUGGGCUACACACGUGCUACAAUGGAUGGUACAACGAGUUGCGAACUCGCGAGAGUAAGCUAAUCUCUUAAAGCCAUUCUCAGUUCGGAUUGUAGGCUGCAACUCGCCUACAUGAAGUCGGAAUCGCUAGUAAUCGCGGAUCAGCAUGCCGCGGUGAAUACGUUCCCGGGCCUUGUACACACCGCCCGUCACACCAUGAGAGUUUGUAACACCCAAAGUCGGUGGGGUAACCUUUUAGGAACCAG
Molecule: ribosomal RNA, 1434 nt
Filed under: Lactiplantibacillus pentosus
Lineage: Bacteria; Bacillati; Bacillota; Bacilli; Lactobacillales; Lactobacillaceae
Also listed under: 1 other name
Description: bacterial SSU rRNA
Rfam family: Bacterial small subunit ribosomal RNA
Source: RNAcentral